Molecule: microRNA precursor, 133 nt
Filed under: Nelumbo nucifera (sacred lotus)
Lineage: Eukaryota; Viridiplantae; Streptophyta; Magnoliopsida; Proteales; Nelumbonaceae
Description: mir-172 microRNA precursor family
Rfam family: mir-172 microRNA precursor family
About the family: mir-172 has been experimentally verified in Arabidopsis thaliana.
Source: Rfam by way of RNAcentral
GUGUUUGCAGAUGUAGCACCAUCAAGAUUCACAACUUUAUGGGCUUCAUGGGGUGGUGGUCCCUUCCCUUCCCUUCCCUUCACUCGAUAGGCUCACGGUAUGGGAAUCUUGAUGAUGCUGCAUCGGCAAUAAA